GACAAAGAUAACGCCAUCUUGGGGAAGGCUGACGCUUAAGUAAGUGAACUCGAGCGUCUCGGGAAAGGUGGAUUGGGAGGACCGGAAGAAUCUUAACUGCAAUUCCAGGACCUGCUGCCUGGCACUUUUCACACGUUAAAUAGUUGGUUCUUAAAAGAGCGUACGAGAUAAGGAUUAUUAUAUUAAUCUUAGUAGAAAUAACAAGAAUAAUAGCUAACAUUAAUGUAGUGCUUAUUAUGGGCCACUUUACAUAUUUCAGCUCUUAAGAACGUGAACUCCUGGGCCGGGCGCGGUGGCUCACGCCUGUAAUCCCAGCACUUUGGGAGGCUGAGGCGGGUGGAUCAGGAGGUCAGGAGUUUGAGACCAGCCUGACCAACAUGGUGAAACCCCGUCUCUGCUGAAAAUACAAGAAAAAAAAAAAAUUAGCCGAGCGUGGUGGUGCGCGCCUGUAUUCCCAGCUACUCAGGAGGCUGAGGCAGAAGAAUCGCUUGAACCUGGGAGGUGGAGGUUGCAGUGAGUCGAGAUCAAAAAAAAAAAAAACAAAGAACACGUGAACUCGAAAGCUGACUUUCUGGGUUGGAAUCGCUCUUCACGGCUUACUGCUUGUGUGACCUUGGGCAAGUUACUUAACUUCCGUGUGCCUCAGUUUCCAAAGGGGGAUAUAAUUUUAUUUACCUAAUGGGUCUUAGUGAGGAUUAGAUGAGUUAAAUGAGCUAGUCUUGAUAAAAAUGUUAAUGAUUAUGGUAGACAGACCAAUCACCCUCACCCCGACUCCCAGAUGUCUACCUUCUAAUCCCCAGAAUCUGGGUAUAUGGUGACCUUUAUAUAGCAAAAGAGAAUUGGCAGAGAUGAUGAAAUUAAAGCGAUUGAGAUGGGGAGCUAGCCUGGAUUGUGCAGGUGGGUCCCCUAUCAUCAAAACCAUCCUUAUAAGGGGUAGACAGGAUGGCCAGAGUCAGACAGAGAUCAGAGAUGCUUUGAAGAGGGAGAGUGGGACCACAUGCCUAGGUAUGCAGGAGGCCGCUAGAAAAAGCAAAGAAAUGAGCCCUCCUCCAGAGUCUCCAGAAGGAAUGCAGCAUUGCUGACACGGUGAUUUUAGUCUUGUAACACUCAUCUCAAACUUCUGACUUCCAGAACUCUACCAGAAUACGUUUGUGUUGUUUUAAGCCACCAAACUUGUGGCAAUUUGUUACAGCAGCAAGACGAAAGUGAUCAUAAUGAUUGUAACAGUGGCAUUUAGUAUAUGUGGGGCAUGUGUAUGACUCUUUGCAUAGAUUAUAUUAUAUAAUCCUUGCAAGAAUCCUAGAAGCGGACCUAUUAUCCACCAUAUUAGAGAGAAGAAAAAUGAGACUCAUCACAUCCUCAUCUCAUCUGUCUUUAUGGAGAAAAUGGGAAAAGGGAAAAGGAGAGGGGAAUUGAGGCAGUUGACUGUGUUCAGUCUUAUUUAUUUAUUUUCAUUUGUUUAUUUCUCCAAGUCCGCCAGUCUCUGAAAUUAGAACAGUAAGCAAUAUGAGAUAAUCGGGCCUAAUAAUGUUGUGAUUCUCUUUUCUUAAUGGAGUGGAAUGUUCUGUCCCCACAAGAAGGAUUAUACCUUAUAGACUUGUCUUGUUCAGAUUCUGUAUUUACCCAUUUUACUGAAACACAUACUAAAUUCCAUGUGUUUUUGUUACAAAUCUUCUGAAAGAAAAUGUGAAACAUUAAAAGGUAUUAAUAAUAAUUUUUUUUAAAAGGAAAAAAAAUGAGGCUCAGUUGCUUAAAUGGCAUGCCAGGGGUCAUUUCCCAGCUAGCAAGUGAAGGAGCCUUCAGUUAAAAAAUAACUCAAAGACAUUGAGUUAAUUAUUGGCGUGUUAUUUACUUGUAACUAGUGGAACCAGUAUAGACUGACUUCAUCUCAGAAAGCGAGGAAAGGAUUUAUAUAGAAGAAACACAGCUUCUAAACUAUGAAUGUUGGUUUUUUUGCCUAGCUGGACCCUGGCAAUGAAGCCAGUGAGUGUUCUGAUCCUGGAAAGCUAGAAAGAAAGUAAUUCUAGUUGCACGUGAAUGUCCCUGAAGACCAUGAGAAUUUAGCUUCCUCUGCACGAUGCCUGUCAGGGUCCUUGGUUGUCAUCUCCAUCUUAGCGAUGCAGGUUUGCACCCUCACCCUUGUCAGAAAUUCUCCCUAGAGUGGCAUCCAGCUGAUUGUAACCACCUCCCAAGCCACUUAAAUGACCAGGAGCAAGCUAGUGAGUCCCCUUUAUUCCCAGGCUCACUCAUUUUGCAGGCUGCAAAAGCACAAAAUAACUUAAUCUUGCAUUGACCAGAAUGCUCCCCUGUCAUACAAAUGAUUUUUCACAUAUCCCCCCAUUUCCU
RNAcentral lists this long non-coding RNA (2346 nucleotides) under Homo sapiens (human). RNAcentral describes it as "non-protein coding lnc-GRIP2-4:7". Lineage: Eukaryota; Metazoa; Chordata; Mammalia; Primates; Hominidae. The record is from RNAcentral.